Long non-coding RNA from Drosophila pseudoobscura, 485 nucleotides. RefSeq lists it as uncharacterized. The transcript has 2 exons. The record is from RefSeq and is a predicted model, not a curated record. Lineage: Eukaryota; Metazoa; Arthropoda; Insecta; Diptera; Drosophilidae.
UUGCUCAUUGGCUUGCUCUUGGUGCAAGGAAGACCUCAACAUGUUUUGGGCGCGCAUUGCUCUUGUUUCUCUAGUUGCUUGGCUUGUGUAUGCCCGACGCGGGGAGAUCUUGGAGGGCCCUAAUGUGAUGAAGGACAACAAAUUCAACAAAGCUGUUUGCCUGCAGGAGCCAUCCUAUGGCGAAUGCAAGGGACGUCGCUCCUUGUGGUACUACAAUUCAUUUACAAAUAAAUGCGAGAUGUUCAUCUAUUCGAACUGUGGUGGCAACGGAAAUCGCUUCCACACCCAUAAAAACUGCGAGAGACUUUGCCGCAUACCCAAGUGGCAUUCUAGUAUGUUUGUAACUGAAUGAUUGAAAAAAGAUAAACAUAUUCCAUAAAUGUUGAUAAUAAUAAUGAUCUGUUGCUCCAUUUCUUUUUCCAUUCUUCCACUUCUUUUGAUUUACUUUACUUUUUCAAGAAAUAUAAUACAUUUAACAACAUAAA